ACGGCUGAGUAACACGUGGCUAACCUAUCCUCGGGAGGGGGAUAACACCGGGAAACUGGUGCUAAUCCCCCAUAGGGGAGGAGGCCUGGAAGGGUUCCUCUCCGAAAGGGCGUAGCGGGGGUUAUCGCCGCUACGCCGCCCGAGGGUGGGGCUACGGCCCAUUAGGUUGUUGGCGGGGUAACGGCCCGCCAAGCCGAUAAUGGGUAGGGGCCGUGAGAGCGGGAGCCCCCAGAUGGGCACUGAGACAAGGGCCCAGGCCCUACGGGGCGCACCAGGCGCGAAACCUCCGCAAUGCGGGAAACCGUGACGGGGUCACCCCGAGUGCCCCCGAUAAGGGGGCUUUUCCCCGCUGUAGGAAGGCGGGGGAAUAAGCGGGGGGCAAGUCUGGUGUCAGCCGCCGCGGUAAUACCAGCCCCGCGAGUGGUCGGGACGAUUAUUGGGCCUAAAGCGCCCGUAGCCGGCCCGGCAAGUCCCCUCCUAAAACCUCGGGCUCAACCCGAGGGGUGGGGGGGAUACUGCCGGGCUAGGGGGCGGGAGAGGCCGAGGGUACUCCCGGGGUAGGGGCGAAAUCCUAUAAUCCCGGGAGGACCACCAGUGGCGAAGGCGCUCGGCUGGAACGCGCCCGACGGUGAGGGGCGAAAGCCGGGGGAGCGAACCGGAUUAGAUACCCGGGUAGUCCCGGCUGUAAACUAUGCGGGCUAGGUGUUGGGUGGGCUUAGAGCCCACCCAGUGCCGCAGGGCAAGCCGUUAAGCCCGCCGCCUGGGGAGUACGGCCGCAAGGCUGAAACUCAAAGGAAUYGGCGGGGGAGCAC
This 812-nucleotide ribosomal RNA is filed under the name uncultured archaeon. RNAcentral describes it as "bacterial SSU rRNA". It matches the Rfam family "Archaeal small subunit ribosomal RNA", at positions 85 to 879 of the family's 1478-position model. The record is from RNAcentral.